UGCCGAAACCGGGCUUAGUGCCCGGUCCGCCAGGGAUGGCCUCCUGGCGCUGAUGAGGCAGGCCACA
RNAcentral lists this non-coding RNA (67 nucleotides) under Oligella ureolytica. The record is from RNAcentral. Lineage: Bacteria; Pseudomonadati; Pseudomonadota; Betaproteobacteria; Burkholderiales; Alcaligenaceae.